This 465-nucleotide ribosomal RNA is filed under the name uncultured bacterium. RNAcentral's name for it is "partial 16S ribosomal RNA". It matches the Rfam family "Bacterial small subunit ribosomal RNA", at positions 28 to 507 of the family's 1533-position model. The record is from RNAcentral.
GACGAACGCUGGCGGCGUGCUUAACACAUGCAAGUCGAACGCUGAACCCGCUUCGGUGGGGGAUGAGUGGCGAACGGGUGAGUAACACGUGGGCAACCUGCCCCCGGCUCUGGGAUAACUCCAAGAAAUUGGGGCUAAUACCGGAUGUGACCGCUGGCCGCAUGGUCUGGUGGUGGAAAGGGUUUCCGGCUGGGGAUGGGCCCGCGGCCUAUCAGCUUGUUGGUGGGGUAGUGGCCUACCAAGGCGACGACGGGUAGCCGGCCUGCGAGGGUGACCGGCCACCCUGGGACUGAGACACGGCCCAGCCUCCUACGGGAGGCAGCAGUGGGGAAUAUUGCGCAAUGGGCGGAAGCCUGACGCAGCGACGCCGCGUGGGGGAUGACGGCCUUCGGGUUGUAAACCUCUUUCAGCAGGGACGAAGCGCAAGUGACGGUACCUUCAGAAGAAGCUCCGGCCAACUACGUG